This 254-nucleotide ribosomal RNA is filed under the name uncultured bacterium. RNAcentral's name for it is "partial 16S ribosomal RNA". It matches the Rfam family "Bacterial small subunit ribosomal RNA", at positions 524 to 777 of the family's 1533-position model. The record is from RNAcentral.
UACGAAGGGUGCAAGCGUUAAUCGGAAUUACUGGGCGUAAAGGGUGCGUAGGCGGUUGUUUAAGUCUGUCGUGAAAUCCCCGGGCUCAACCUGGGAAUGGCGAUGGAUACUGGGCAGCUAGAGUGUGUCAGAGGAUGGUGGAAUUCCCGGUGUAGCGGUGAAAUGCGUAGAGAUCGGGAGGAACAUCAGUGGCGAAGGCGGCCAUCUGGGACAACACUGACGCUGAAGCACGAAAGCGUGGGGAGCAAACAGGA